GACGAACGCUGGCGGCGUGCUUAACACAUGCAAGUCGAACGGAAAGGCCCUGCUUUUGUGGGGUGCUCGAGUGGCGAACGGGUGAGUAACACGUGAGUAACCUGCCCUUGACUUUGGGAUAACUUCAGGAAACUGGGGCUAAUACCGGAUAGGAGCUCCUGCUGCAUGGUGGGGGUUGGAAAGUUUCGGCGGUUGGGGAUGGACUCGCGGCUUAUCAGCUUGUUGGUGGGGUAGUGGCUUACCAAGGCUUUGACGGGUAGCCGGCCUGAGAGGGUGACCGGCCACAUUGGGACUGAGAUACGGCCCAGACUCCUACGGGAGGCAGCAGGGGGGAAUAUUGCACAAUGGGCGGAAGCCUGAUGCAGCAACGCCGCGUGCGGGAUGACGGCCUUCGGGUGGUAAACCGCUUUCGCCUGUGACGAAGCGUGAGUGACGGUAAUGGGUAAAGAAGCACCGGCUAACUACGUG
Molecule: ribosomal RNA, 468 nt
Filed under: uncultured bacterium
Lineage: Bacteria
Description: partial 16S ribosomal RNA
Rfam family: Bacterial small subunit ribosomal RNA
Source: RNAcentral